Phyllostomus discolor (pale spear-nosed bat) is the source of this 182-nucleotide small nuclear RNA. RefSeq annotates it as U2 spliceosomal RNA. The record is from RefSeq and is a predicted model, not a curated record. The transcript has a single exon. NCBI's taxonomy places the organism in Eukaryota, Metazoa, Chordata, Mammalia, Chiroptera, Phyllostomidae.
AUCGCUUCUCGGCCUUUUGGCUAAGAUCAAGUGUAGAUAUCUGUUCUUGCCAGUUUGUCCUCUCUCUGAGGACAACAUAUUAAAUGGAUUUUUGAGCAGGGAGAUGGAAUAGGAGCUUGCUCUGUUCAUGCUGUAAGUACAUGGGCCUAGUAUUUCAGUACCUCUGGAACAGUGCACUCCCA